GACAGAGGUGCCAAGCGUUAGGCGGAAUCACUGGGCUUAAAGCGUGUGUAGGCGGGUGCCUAAGUACCUUGUGAAAUCCCACGGCUCAACCGUGGAACUGCUGGGUAUACUGGGUGCCUUGGGUCAUCUAGGGGCUGCCGGAACAAAUGGUGGAGCGGUGAAAUGCGUAGAUAUCAUUUGGAACGCCAACGGCGAAAGCAGGCAGCUGGGGAUGCACCGACGCUGAGACACGAAAGCCAGGGGAGCAAACGGG
This 253-nucleotide ribosomal RNA is filed under the name uncultured bacterium. Its description in RNAcentral is "partial 16S ribosomal RNA". It matches the Rfam family "Bacterial small subunit ribosomal RNA", at positions 524 to 776 of the family's 1533-position model. The record is from RNAcentral.